Molecule: RNA transcript, 11682 nt
Organism: Myxocyprinus asiaticus (Chinese sucker)
Lineage: Eukaryota; Metazoa; Chordata; Actinopteri; Cypriniformes; Catostomidae
Gene: cdk2
Gene name: cyclin-dependent kinase 2
Exons: 8
Source: RefSeq, a predicted model, not a curated record
AAAAGAAGAAGAAAAGGGCGUGGUUUUUGACACGCGGGAAUUGGCGGUUUUGAUAGUUGUGAAAUGUUUUUCUGUCGUCGGUGUCUUUCCUGAGCUAAAAAACUAUUUUAAUGUUUGUUAUCUUUGCUGUUGAAAGUAGGCUCUCCACACAGUGGUCAGACGUAUUGUUUUAGAUAGAUUGAGAGUGGCCAGAUUCCCCGGAAAAGGGGCAGUUUGUCAUGGAGUCUUUUCAGAAAGUGGAGAAGAUAGGAGAGGGAACAUACGGGGUGGUUUACAAAGCAAAGAAUAAAAUCACCGGUGAGACUGUGGCACUCAAGAAAAUCAGAUUAGACACGGAGACUGAAGGUGUUCCCAGCACUGCCAUUCGUGAGAUCUCUCUACUGAAAGAGCUUAAUCACCCAAACAUCGUCAAGCUGCGAGAUGUAAUACACACAGAGAAUAAGCUUUACUUGGUCUUUGAAUUUCUUCACCAAGACCUGAAGAGGUUUAUGGACGCCUCCUCCGUCACUGGCAUAUCCCUGCCACUCGUGAAGAGUUACCUUUUCCAGCUGCUGCAGGGAUUGGCAUUCUGUCACUCUCAUCGUGUUCUUCACAGAGAUCUUAAACCACAGAAUCUGCUGAUCAACGCACAAGGCGAGAUCAAACUAGCUGACUUUGGGCUGGCCAGAGCAUUCGGUGUUCCUGUGCGCACCUAUACACAUGAGGUUGUAACGUUGUGGUACAGAGCUCCAGAGAUUCUGCUGGGAUGUAAAUAUUAUUCCACAGCUGUUGACAUCUGGAGUUUGGGCUGCAUCUUUGCUGAAAUGAUUACUCGAAGGGCAUUGUUUCCUGGAGACUCGGAAAUAGACCAGCUCUUCCGAAUAUUCCGAACACUGGGGACUCCGGAUGAGUCUGUUUGGCCAGGUGUUACCUCAAUGCCAGACUACAAACCCUCCUUCCCUAAAUGGGCUCGGCAAGACCUGUCCAAAGUGGUGCUGCCCCUGGAUGAGGAUGGCAGAGACCUUCUUGGGUCACCACCAGCUUCAUCUACUGGCAGAAUUUAACAGGAGUUUGUAAAGCUCCAGAUUCUCAUGGAUGAAGUGCCAUGCAAAAAGAAUGAUGCAUUUUUUAUUGGACCGCUAUCAGCAAAUGCUGAACUAUGAUCCCAACAAGAGAAUCUCAGCCAAGAAUGCACUUCUUCAUCGCUUUUUCCGUGACGUCACCAUGCCAGUGCCCCAUUUACGCCUGUGAGGUACCAUCCGUGAGUGUUUCCACACCUCAGGACUGAGUGUUGGGUCCACCUUUUUCUGAGAAUUAUUCAGUUGCUCAGAAGUUGUUCUUCAGUUUUAUAAUCGAUGAGCUGUUGUACCUUUCCUCAAGUCAGUCUGGUUUGUUUUUAAUCUAUCCACUGUAAAAUUGCCAUGUUAUUGUAAUACUGUAGUGCUAGUAGUUAGUAAGCAUUUAAUUAACCUUGACAUUGUUUUCCCAGAAUUAUCUGGAGGGAUGUAGAUGUGCAUAUAGAAGAUUGCAUUUCUCAAGUCAUUCUUGUUUGGAGAACACAUCCCUUGGUUAGACUGAGUUAAAUUUGUUUAAAUUGUCUUGGUCAAAUCCCAUGAUUCAUAAAAUAUGGAAUUCUCUGUUUACCAGCCUUAUGUAUGUAACAUUAUUUUUGACUGCCAAUCUCUUUCCUUUGCCAAGUACUAAUGAAUGUUUUUAAACCUAAGGUGUUUUGACAGUUUUUACAAAUUCGAAGAUCCUUACUGUGAACUACUUUUUUUUUUUUUUUUUUCAUAAAAUAAUUCUUUCUACAACUUCAGUUGAAUUCAAGUCGUGUAUCAUGUUUGGGAACUAUUGCUUCCUCAUUCUGUUCUUUGAACCAACUUCUAGGGAAAACAGCUAUACACAUUUGAGAGACCAGUAUGAACAAUGAAGACCAGUUGAGUUUCAAUCAGUUGAAAGCAAGUUGAAGCUGCCUGUUCAGCUUUCACACAGAGCCCCUCACACUCCAAGAGCAGUGUAUCAUUUCCCCACACACUAUAUAUACACAGUCUAGACAUAUAUCAAAUAAAAAUUUAAAGUGCCCUACAAAUCUGCACCCAAAUAUUCACAACACGCACUGGCCUUCCCUUUAUACUGUUCAACCUACCCCCCAUUUUUGAGCUCAGGCCUGAAUUGGACAUAAUAUUAAUGGCUGUAGUUAAUCACUUCUUUGUAUUGCAGUCAUAAUUGUAGUCUGUUUUGACCGAAUCCACUUGUUUGUUAACCAGAUGUCAGAAUUUAUUAAAAUCAUAAAGAAUAAUUGUUAUAAAAGCUCAAAUUUAUAGGAAAGUGAUAUGCAAAUUAUUUUCAUAAUAUAUUUUAUGACAUUAUAUAUGACACUGGCCUUAAAAGGGCUUAGAGACACAAUGGAGCUAAAGCCACAAGUCUGAUAACUUUAAAACAUUUUUUUUUUUUUUCUUUUUUUACAAAAGGAAUCAAAUUUACUUUGUUCAUGUGUUGAACAUAUUGAUGUGCCUCUAAUUAUUAUUCUUUUGUCUAUAUUCUGCCUAUUGACUAAUCCAAAUCUGUCUGCCAUAGUAACACCUAUAUUGACACACAACACACAUCGUUGCUGUAGCAUACUUUAAAAAAAGUAUAAAACUUUUUUGUGAUAUUCCAUGGAUUCUUUUAACACAUCCAUCAUAAAAUACAAAUAUAGCUGCUUGUGGCAGUUAUCGGGGGCCAAGAACAUAUGGAAAAAUCACAAAUUAUCAGAUCUAAAAGAUCCUGUGGAACCCUAAUGCUAACUCCAACCCUAACCUUUACCCUAACUGCCUUAAUCACAGUAGCACAAAUGGGAAGUUAUAGAGACCUUUAGCAUCACAGAACGGUCUCUUGUCCAUGUGUUUUACGUUUGAAUAUUGCGCUUGCACGAUACAGGCCAAUUAGUCAUUAUAGGCCACACCCAAAACAUAUUGGCUUAUUCUUCUGAAUGACUUAACAAAUAAAAAUUAUAUUUAUAACUUUUUGUCUGGAGGGUCUGCAGAUGCUGUAUAACAAAUUUUGUGUGAAUUGGGGAAACGGCAUUUUUUCAAAAAAAUCGAAGUGGUAGAAAAGUGUUCUUAUGGAAAUGGAAAUCCAUGUGACCAGAUGAUUUGGGGGCACAGAAGGAUUUGGAGAAACUACGUAUUCAAAUUUUUUGCAAAUUGGACAAAUGGCCUAGGAGGAGUUCGAAAAAGUAGGUUUUUCAAAAAAAACUCAAUGAUGGAAAGCAACGCCAUCUUUGAUUUUUAAUGGGAAUGACAAUGAAAAUGUGAGGGAUAGAUGUACAGUCUCUUCAAUGGAAUGUACUGCAGUUUAAAGUGUUUUUGUAUCGUUCCGUGUGCAAAACAUUGAAAAAAUAUAUUUUCAAGGACACUCAGUAGACAAACUCCAGACAACAUGAGUUGUGGAAAAUCAGAUGAGAUCUAGGAGCUUUUUACAGCUUUAUACUGUGCAUGCCAUUGAAGAGAUGGUAAGUCUAUCCCUCACAGCCUUAUUUCCCAUCCCAUUUAAAAUUAAACAUGUGAAAGUGCUACUGUGAAUAAGGUCUAAUCAUAGACCAAUCCUCUUGUUUACAAAAUUGUCAGCACAUGCGCAGUAAGUGCUGGCAGAAAGCCUGCUGACUGUUGUGUUAGAUUUGACAGAUUAGAUGAUUAAAAAAAAGUAUGACACAAAACCAUCAUAAAUACAAACAUUCUUAGCGAUACAAUUACUAUUAAUGAAAUAAGUUAAUAAACAUGUAAUCAUGUUCGCUAUACAUUUUUGCUGCAAAGUUGUGAGUUGAAAUGAUCUUCUGUCCAGUCAGCUCUUGAUGGUUUGAAGCCACAACAGUCAACGAGAGCCCUCUGAAUAAUAUUUCAACAAUCCAAUAAAAGUUUACUUUUUGCUUAUGGUUUUUGCCACCACUUCCGUGUUUGACAUGAGAGGUGACGUUGCCAAAGCAUUGGUCUAUUGUGUCACGUCUUGCUGGAAAGCAAGUGACUAAAGAGAAGGGUCACAAUAAAGGCUACAUACUUCAGGCUAUAUGCAUUCAUAAUGAAUUCAUAUAAAAUUAUAAUGUUCUAUUAACUUAUUUAAAAAAAAACCACACACAUAAAUGCACAAAAAAACAUGUCCAGAGACAUCCAGGUAGCCUCAUAACAGACAAUUCACAAUUAUUUGUUAGACAAUUAAUUGUCAUCCAAAUUUUAAAAAACGUGACAGUCCUAAUAAUAAGAAAUAUAGCUACAAGCAGUAAUAACGGGCCAAACACACCAACUGGACAUCAGUGAUUAUGACUUUUUUUUAUUUUUAAUUAAAAAAUAAAAAUAAAAAUUAUCCUGUUUUCUCCCAAUUUGGAAUGCCCAAUUCCCACUACUUAGUAGGUCCUCGUGGUGGCGCGGAUACUCACCUCAAUUCUGGUGGUGGAGGACAAGACUCAGUUGCCUUCGCUUCUGAUACAGUCAAUCCACGCAUCUUAUUAUGUGGCUCGUCGUACAUGACACCGCGGAGGCUCCGCAUGUGGAGGCUCAUGCUACUCUCCACGAUCAACGCACAACUUACCACAUGCCCCAUUGAGAGCGAGCACCACAAAUCAUGACCACGAGGAGGUUACCCCAUGUGAAUCUACCCUCCCUAGCAACCGGGCCAAUUUGGUUGCUUUAGGAGACCUGGCUGGAGUCACUCAGCAUGCCCAGUGAUUAUGACUUUAUGAAAAGCAGCAUAAAAACAGGUAGAAAUGCUAAAUCUUAAAUACAAUUAAUUAUAACUUUGACCAGUAGGUGGUGCUGUCACCAAAUGUAUAUGGUGAGUUCAGGGUGUGGUCAUUAUGACCCACAAAUUUUCAUUAAAAUACGGCAAAAUGUUGCAGAGAUACAGCCUCAGAUGCUUUUUUGGUGACUUGCCAUCAAUUUCGUUGGUGUGCUAUUCGAGAACCGUUUUGUACAUCAAAAAGCUUUUGAUAAUUUUUUGACGGGAGUGUCCCUAGAUGUUACACGACAAAUUUUGUGUUUCAAUUAAAUUCAAAAUGGCGAACAGGAAGUAUGCACGACCAUGGAAUAUUUGAUAUCACCGUACUCUGCAUGACCCAAGGAACCUAAAGAGACAGUGCCAUAAUUUUAGGGCAUACUAUUCAUAAGUUAUAGGCAAAAAUAGCAAUGUAUUUAUAUCUCCUGACCACUAGGUGGUACAGUGGGGAAAUGCUGCAGGUAGCCUCAGGUCAAUACACCAAAGUGUUGCGAUGUUAUAGUGUCAUGUCCAUUUUUGCGUGUUUGUGGUCGAAUUUGUUGAAGUAUUAUUCAUGAAUGGUGUGGUCAUAGGUUUUUCGGAUAAUUCAAAAUUGCGGAAAAUAUAGGCGGUUGCUAAGGUUUUCUGGGUGGUCGCUAGGGCAUUGCUAGGCGGUUGCUAAGGUGUUCUGGGUGGUCGCUAAGGUGUUGCUAGGGUGUUCCUUGUGGUCACUAUGGCGUUGCGAGGUGGUUGCUAGGGUAUUCUGUGUGGUCACUCUGGCGUUGCUAGGCGGAUGCUAGGGUGUUCUGAGUGGUCAUUAGAGCGUUGUUAGGUGGUUGAUAGGUUGUUCAGACACGCUAGCUUUCACUCCCCACACGCAUCAAUGAGCCAUGGGCGCCCAUGACCCUGGUGCCGGUUCACCGGUUGACCUUCCUUGGGCCACAUUUGGUAGGUACUAACCACUGCAUACCGGGAACACCCCACAAGACCUGCCCUUUUGGAGAUGCUCUGACCCAGUCGUCUAGCCAUUACAAUUUGGCCCUUGUCAGAGUCACUGAGAUCCUUGUGUUUGCCCAUUUUUCCUGCUUCCAACACAUGAAAUUCAAGAACUGACUGUUCACUUGCUGCCUAAUAUGUCCCACCCCUUGACAGGUGCCAUUGUUACGAGAUAAAUGCUAUUCACUUCACCUGUCAGUGGUUUUAAUGUUGUGGCUGAUCAGUGUAUAUCAGUAGAGAAAAGGAGAGAGUUCUUAGGUACUUUGAUGGUUUUUAACUUGUUUACAAACUCUUAAGUAUCUUUGAUGUAGCUACAAAGUGUUUGAGACAAAGGGUUAAUAAACGUAUCUAUAAGUUCCGCUACUCUAUACGAUUCUGAACCACAACCACUUAUAAUCGGUCAUGCACAUGGAAUCAAAUAAGGAACCGUCCACGACUCCGGUGGCUUAUGUAUUUUGGGAAGAAGAUAAAAUUUACAUGACCUUGGCUGUUCAGCGCCAGAGAGGUACAGAAAUUGUUUAUAUGUAAUAUAUUUUUGUUUAUGUAAAUCAAACAUUAUUUCAUAAAUCAUUCUAGCAGUUUCUAAUUGUAUAGAAUUUGUAAGUGGUAAGUAAUGCUUGGUGUUAUUUAAUUGCCUGUUGGCCUCCUGUAAAUAUUGUGCCUUUUUAUUUUUUACUAUUAUAAUAUUACUAUUUUUGAUCGUUUAUCCACUGUUUUACAAUUAUUUCUCUAUUUACUCUUAAAUCAUGUAAUGCUUUAUACUGUUCUUUGGUUAAAUUUGAUCUGACUCUUUGAUUUACUUUAUAUUUCCUAAAAAAUGUAUCUCCCUGAAUCAAUUCUCGAAUCUCCGAAGGAGCAUGUCCCAAUUCUGGUUCCCACUGACUUUCUUCCGUAAACUGUAACAUUUCUGUAUUUAAAUCAAAAUAACCACAAAUUUUGUGUCUCCUAUGAUACAGAUGAAGAUCUCGCCUACAUGACAUGCAAUUAACCCCAUGUGGUGUGGGAACAAAUGUUAAUUAUUUUUUCCUUUUCUGAAAGUUUGAAAAAAGCAAUAAAUUCAGAAUAUUAUAUUGCUGUAAGAUAUUAGUUGGAGCUUCCAGUACAAAACAAUACAAAACAGCAACAAAAAUAUUUAAAAAUUGAAUAAAAAAAAUAAAUAUUGAAAAGAAAAUAAAGUAUAUGAAGAAUACACAAUAGACUAUAUAUAUAUAUAUAUAUAUAUAUAAUAUAUAUAUAUAAAAAUAAUAUAUAUAGCUGUGCUCAAAUGUUUGCAUACCCUGGCAGAAAUUGUGAAAUUUUGGCAUUGAUUUUGAAAAUAUGACUGAUCAUGCUAAGCCUGUAGAUCACUGGUCUUUUAUUUAAGGAUAGUGAUCAUAUGAAGCCAUUUAUUAUCACAUAGUUGUUUGGCUCCUUUUUAAAUCAUAAUGAUAACAGAAAUCACCCAAAUGGCCCUGAUCAAAAGUUUACAUAUCCUUGAAUGUUUGGCCUUGUUACAGACACACAAGGUGACACACACACAGGUUUAAAUGGCAAUUAAAGGUUAAUUUCCCACACCUGUGGCUUUUUAAAUUGCAAUUAGUGUCUGUGUAUAAAUAGUCAAUGAGUUUGUUAGCUCUCACGUGGAUGCACUGAGCAGGCUAGAUACUGAGCCAUGGGGAGCAGAAAAGAACUGUCAAAGGACCUGUGUAACAAGGUAAUGGAACUUUAUAAAGAUGGAAAAGGAUAUAAAAAGAUAUCCAAAGCCUUGAAAAUGCCAGUAAGUUCUGUUCAAUCACUUAAGAAAUGGAAAAUUUCGGGAUCUCUUGAUGCCAAGGUCAGGUAGACCAAGAAAGAUUUCAGCCACAACUGCCAGAAGAAUUGUUUAGGAUACAAAGAAAAACCGACAGGUAACCUCAGGAGAAAUACAGGCUGCUCUGGAAAAAGAUGGUGUGGAUGUUUCAAGGAGCACAAUAUGAUGAUACUUGAACAAAAAUGAGCUGCAUGGUCGAGUUUCCAGAAAGAAACCUUUACUGCGCCACAAAAAAGCCCGGUUACAAAAUGCCUGACAACACCUUGACACGCCUCAGCUUCUGGCACACUGUAAUUUGUAGUGACGAGACCAAAAUAGAGCUUUAUGGUCACAACCAUAAGUGCUAUGUUUGGAGAGGGGUCAACAAGGCCUAUAGUGAAAAGAAUACCAUCCCCACUGUGAAGCAUGGUGGUGGCUCACUGAUGUUUUGGGGGUGUGUGAGCUCUAAAGGCACAGGGAGUCUUGUGAAAAUUGAUGACAAGAUGAAUGCAGCAUGUUAUCAGAAAAUACUGGCAGACAAUUUGCAUUCUCCUGCACGGAAGCUGUGCAUGGGACGCUCUUGGACUUUCCAGCAUGAUAAUGACCCUAAGCACAAGGCCAAGUUGACCCUCCAGUGGUUACAGCAGAAAAAGGUGAAGGUUCUGGAGUGGACAUCACAGUCUCCUGACCUUAAUAUCAUCAAGCCACUCUGGGGAGAUCUCAAACAUGCGGUUUAUGCAAGACGACCAAAGACUUUGCAUUACCUGGAAGCAUUUUGCCAAGACAAAUGGGCAGCUAUGCCACAUGCAAGAAUUUGGAGCCUCAUAGACAACUAUUACAAAAGACUGCACGCUGUCGUUGAUGCUAUAGGGGGCAAUACACAGUAUUAAGAACUAAGGGUAUGCAGACUUUUGAACAGGGGUCAUUUAAUUUUUUUUCAUUGUUGCCAUGUUUCGUUUUAUGAUUGUGCCAAUCUGUUAUAACCUACAGUUGAAUACGAAUCCCAUAAGAAAUAAAAUAAAUGUGUUUUGCCUGCUCACUCAUGUUUUAUUUAAAAAUAGUACAUAUAUUACCAAUUCUCCAAGGGUUUGCAAACUUUUAAGCGCAACUGUACAUAUACAUACAUGCCACAAAAAAGCCUGGUUACAAUAUGCCCGACAACACCUUGACAUGCCUCACAGCUUCUGGCACAUUGUAAUUUGGAGUGAUGAGACAAAAAUAGAACUUUAUGGUCACAACCAUAAGCGCCAUUUUUGGAGAGGGGUCAACAAGUAGUAGUGGGCAAAAUGUAGUUCUUUGCAGGGUGAGUGGGGUCCAGAGUGAUUUUUCCAGCCUUUUUCCUCACUCUGGAAGUGUAUAGUUCUUGAAGGGAGGGCAGGGGGCAACCAAUAAUCCUCUCAGCAGUCCGAACUGUCCUUUGUAGUCUUCUGAUAUCCGAUUUCGUAGCUGAACCAAACCAGACAGAUAUUGAAGUGCAGAGGACACUCAAUGACUGCUGAGUAAAACUGUUUCAGCAGCGCCUGUGGCAGGUUGAACUUCCUCAACUGGCAAAGGAAGUACAACCUCUGCUGGGCCUUUUUCAAAAUGGAGUCAAUGUAGGUCUCCCACUUCAGGUCCUGUGAGAUGGUAGUGCCCAGGAACCUGAAUGACUCCACUGCUGCCACAGUGCUGUUUAGAAUGGUGAGGGGGUUCAGUGUUGGGGUGUUCCUCCUAAAGUCCACAAUCAACUCCACUGUUUUGAGCAUGUUUAGUUCAAGGUUGUUUUGACUGCACCAGACAGCCAGCUGUUUAACCUCCCUUUGUAUGCAGAUUCAUCGUCAUCUCGGAUGAGGCCGAUGACAGUGGUGUCGUCUGCAAACUUCAGGAGCUUGACAGAGGGGUCCUUGGCGAUGCAGUCAUUGGUGUAGAGGGAGAAGAGUAGUGGGGAGAGCACACAUCCCUGGGUGGCAGCAGUGCUGAUUGUACAGGUGCUAGAAGUGAGUUCCCCCUGUCUCACAAGCUGCUGCCUGUCCGUCAGAAAGCUGGUAAUCCACUGACAGAUAGACGUGGGAACAGAGUUGGUGUAAUUUAGUCCGGAGAAUAGCAGGGAUGGUGGUGUUGAAAGCCAAACUGAAGCCCACAAAAAGGAUCCUUGAAUAUGUCCCUGGUCUGUCCAGAUGUUGCAGGAUAUGAUACAAUCCCAUGUUGACUGUAUCAUCCACAGACCUGUUUGCUCGAUAAGCAAAUUAAAGGGGAUCUAGAAAGGGUCCAGUGAAUAUCCUUCAGGUGGGCCAACACCAGUCUUUCAAAUGACUUCAUGACCACAGAUGUCAUGGCGACAGGUCUUUAGUCAUUAAGUCCUGUGAUUUUUGGUUUCUUUGGGACAGGAAUGAUGAUUGAGCAUUUGAAGCAGCAGGGAACUUCACACUGCUCCAGUGAUCUAUUGAAGAUCUGUGUGAAGAUGGGGGCCAGCUGGUUAGCAGAGGAUUUAAGACAUGCAGGUGAGACGCUGUCUGGGCCUUGUGCUUUCCUUAUCUUUUGUUUUCAAAGACACGGCACACAUCAUCUUCACAGAUCUUAAGUGCAGGUUGAGUAGCAGGAGGGGGGCUGCAGGAGGUGUUGAUGUUUGUGUGAAGUGAAGGUCAGAGCGGGUGUGGGGUGUAAAAUUGGGCCUUUCAAAUCUACAGUAGAACACAUUCAGGUCAUCAGCCAGUUGUUGGUCCACCACAAGGUUGGGGGUAAAGAGUCCUGUAAUUCGUAAGUUGUUUCAUGCCACUCCACACUGAUGCAGGGUUGUUAGCUGAAAACUUGUUUUUCAGCUUCUCAGAGUAUCUUCUUUUAACCACUCUGAUUCCCUUAUUCAGUGUGUUCCUGGCCUGACUGUACAAGACUUUAUCCCCAACUCUGUAAGCAUCCUAUUUGGCCUGACGAAGCUGCCGGAGUUCUGCUAUAAACCAUGGUUUGUCGUUGUUAAAUGUUAAAUAAGUCCUAGUAGGGAUGCACAUAUCCUCACAGAAACUGAUAUAUGAUGUAACCGUAUCUGUGAGCUCAUCCAGACUGGUGUCUGCAGCCUCAAAAACACUCCAAUCAGUGCAGUCAAAGCAGGCUUAUAGUUCCAGCUCUGCUUCAUUGGUCCAUCUCUUUACAGACCUUACUACAGGCUAAGCAGAUUUAGUUUCUGUCUGUAGGUUGGAAGAAAAUGAACCAGACAGUGAUCGGAGUCCCAAAACGGCUCUAGGGACAGAGCGAUAUGCAUCCUUUAUUGUUGUGUAGCAGUGAUCCAAUAUAUUUGUCUCUUGUUGGGCUUGUAAUGUGCUGUCUGUAUUUGGGCAGUUCACGUGUGAGGUUUGCUUUUUUAAAAUCCCCAAGAAUAACAAUAACUGAGUCUGGGUAUUGUUGCUCCGUGUCUGUGAUCUGAUCAGCCAGCUGUUGCAGCGCAGCAUUCAAACACUCGUUUGGCACGAUGUAAACACUCACCAGAAUAAACGAGGAAAACUCCCGCGGCGAGUAGAAAGGCUUACAGUUAAUAAAGAGCUCUUCCAAAUUAGGACAGCACAUCUUCUUUAACGUUGUUACAUCUGUACACCAACUUUCAUUGACGUAAAAGCAUGUUCCACUGCCUCUCGUUUUCCCUGUUCAGAAAUGUGCUUAAAAAAUGCUAAACAUUUUGGAUGGAAACCCAGCAAUUGUAAUAAAAAAAGCAAGUCUAUACAAAUGAGUUUUUAAACGAGACUUAAAAACAGUCAGCGAUUCAGCAGAUUUAAACCCACGGCAGGCUGUUUCAUCAUCGUGGGGCCUUCUACAAAUGCUCUAUCACCUUUAGUUUGUGUUGGUCUGGAGCCAACAGUUCAGCCCCAUUUCCACCUGGUAUUAAGAUACAUUUUUGGUUAUCGGAUGAAUCACAUGUGGUCAGCGCUAAAUACAGGUCUAAACAGGGUCUAAAAAUAUUUGUAAUCGGACCUCAUCACAUGUGUAUGUGGUCAAAAACACAGCAGCAACGAAGCACCACCCCUCACCUGUCAAUCAACCGCUGCGCUAAAACAAGAGUUUAAACUUUGCUGGUUAUGUGUGGCUUUAAAAGGGAGAAAAAAAAAAUAAUUACACAAGCAUGAGAACUUUGCGGAUCUUCAUUGUAUUUGAUAUCAACAUACAGCAACACUUAUGAGAAGCACAAACAUCUGUAGCUCAGAUUAAUACAGGUAAUCCACUAAAAUAAUGGACAGUUCUGCUCAAUG